Molecule: ribosomal RNA, 250 nt
Filed under: uncultured bacterium
Lineage: Bacteria
Description: partial 16S ribosomal RNA
Rfam family: Bacterial small subunit ribosomal RNA
Source: RNAcentral
CAAAGCCGCGAGGCAGAGNGAACCCCAAAAAGCCGUCCCAGUUCGGAUCGCAGGCUGCAACCCGCCUGCGUGAAGUCGGAAUCGCUAGUAAUCGCGGAUCAGCAUGCCGCGGUGAAUACGUUCCCGGGCCUUGUACACACCGCCCGUCACACCAUGAGAGUCGGGAACACCCGAAGUCCGUAGCCUAACCGCAAGGAGGGCGCGGCCGAAGGUGGGUUCGAUAAUUGGGGUGAAGUCGUAACAAGGUAAC